This 449-nucleotide ribosomal RNA is filed under the name uncultured bacterium. RNAcentral describes it as "bacterial SSU rRNA". It matches the Rfam family "Bacterial small subunit ribosomal RNA", at positions 329 to 792 of the family's 1533-position model. The record is from RNAcentral.
UCCCAGACUCCUACGGGAGGCAGCAGUGGGGAAUAUUGGACAAUGGGGGGAACCCUGAUCCAGCGACGCCGCGUGAGUGAAGAAGUAUUUCGGUAUGUAAAGCUCUAUCAGCAGGGAAGAAAGAAAUGACGGUACCUGACUAAGAAGCCACGGCUAACUACGUGCCAGCAGCCGCGGUAAUACGUAGGUGGCAAGCGUUGUCCGGAUUUACUGGGUGUAAAGGGCGUGUAGCCGGGCUGACAAGUCAGAUGUGAAAUCCGGGGGCUCAACCCCCGAACUGCAUUUGAAACUGUUGGUCUUGAGUAUCGGAGAGGCAGGCGGAAUUCCUAGUGUAGCGGUGAAAUGCUUAGAUAUCACGAAGAACCCCGAUUGCGAAGGCAGCUUACUAAACUGUGACUGACAUUGAUGCUCGAAAGUGUGGGUAUCAAACAGGAGUAGAUACCCGUGUA